UAAAAGGCCAUUCCUAGAAGGAAUGUAAACAAAAACUUGACAGUUAGGCCUGAAGGCCAGGCUGCCUGCAGAAGAGCACUUCAUGUGUUUGAAGUUUGGAAACAUUGCUUUGAAUUCAAGAAAAGCUCACAGACCCAUAGAGGACCAGAGCUUGCCAGCAGUCACCCAGGAUCCUGGUAACCUGACGGUGUGUUCUUGGUCUCGUGAGAAUCUCCCACUCCCCUGACACCCACAGGGAUGACUCCGGAGAGCUCCUAGGAUGAUCGAUGAGUCCUGCACAAAUGCACUUCCACCAGCAACCCUUGGCCUCUGGCCUUCUGCAGUGGCCAGCUAACUAGGAGAACACAGAGGCUUCUGUGCUAUUUUAUUUCCUUAGCCAUUUCUCAGGAAGAGAGAUUGAUACGCAGGCCUGUGACACCGGGGAAAAGGCGGGGCUUCAGUUUUGGAGUCUCAGACGUCAGAUUUGAGAAGCGGAAGGCCAAUGCCUCCUGCAGUUGAUCAGCUGAGUCUGCAAGGCUGACCUCCUUGCCGGUCCCCUUAUGACCACCUUUCAGGAAGGAACAUCCUCUUUAGGGUUUAACUCACUGCCAAAGUCACCCCCCCUUCCCUGUCUGCCAUACUUUGGAGGCCUUUCAGCCUCCAGAAAGCUGCUUACCUACUGAGACCCCCCUCAUAUGUGAGAAAGACACACCCAGGGAUUUCAUUUUAAUUUUUAUUCUUAUUUUUUCUUAAAGAUUGGCACCUGAACUAACAUCUGUUGCCAAUCUUCUUUUUUCUUUUAUUUUUUCUUCUUCUUCUCCCCAAAGUCCCCCAGUAUAUAGUUGUAUAUUCUACCUGUAGGUCCUCCUGGUUCUGCUAUGUGGGACACCGCCUGAGAAUGGCCUGAUGAGUGGUGCCAUGUCUGCGCCCAGGAUUUGAACCGGCGAAACCCUGGGCCGCAGAAGCAGAAGCAAAAGCAGAGCGUGUGAACCCAACUACUCGGCCUCUGGCCUGCUCCACAUCCAGGGAUUUUAAAGGGCUGACUGCUGAAGGGAGAGUAUAAAGCAAGGAUGUCAGCUUUCCUUCCAUUUCAAACCCAGCCCCAAAGCUAUUUAAGCCAGUGCACAUAGCAUUACUCAACAGGUCUUUGAUUAUUGAAUGAAUAAAUUUGCGGUAACAAAAGGAAGAUUGAGAUUUCAGAACAGGGUGGGGUAUGUUGAACAUUGAUUCUCUGAUCUCAGAGAAAAGAAAACAGAAAGGCAAUUUUCCUCUAAUUUCAAUCAGAAUAUUUUGCAGAUGAAAGGGAUCUUAGUGAUCAUUCGGUUUCCUUGUUACUUUACAAAUAGGAAUUUAAUGACUUGCAUUUCUUCCUGUCUGAACCUUGGUUCAAUAACGUAUACUCAAAUAUUUUCGUUUCAUUAUUUCAUUUUGGAAUUGAAUAGAGUAUCUUGGAAAGAUACCUAAACUGCUCUUUCCUCAGAUUUCCCAUUCCUUGCUCAUGUUUCCUGAAUGUUUGCCUGUGGAGUGGCUCAUUAAGCUGCAAAACAGGUAGUAGAUUUGGGGCCUUUGUGCUUGAAUCCCGAGUCUUGCCAUUGGCUCAGGACUUCUCAAGUGGGCCCCUUGACAGUUACGAAAACUGCCUGAAGUUUAGAUUUUCAAAUACUGACUAUUUUGCCGGGGCUGUUUUGAUAAAUGCAAAUUAAAAAACAACGCACAGCUGCCCCCCAUUUCUUUUUAAAAAGCUAUUACAUGCUGCUAACUAUUAAGUAAUUUAGAUAAUCUAGGAUGUUAAUAAUCAAGGCCCGUGCUCUAAAACAACACACAGCAAAUAGAUGAAGGAUUGUGGUCCA
RNAcentral lists this long non-coding RNA (1829 nucleotides) under Equus asinus (donkey). RNAcentral's name for it is "lncRNA (ENSEASG00005034999.1)". Lineage: Eukaryota; Metazoa; Chordata; Mammalia; Perissodactyla; Equidae. The record is from RNAcentral.